RNAcentral lists this transfer RNA (70 nucleotides) under Polydactylus plebeius (striped threadfin). RNAcentral describes it as "tRNA-Tyr". It matches the Rfam family "tRNA". Rfam says of the family: Transfer RNA (tRNA) molecules are approximately 80 nucleotides in length. Their secondary structure includes four short double-helical elements and three loops (D, anti-codon, and T loops). Lineage: Eukaryota; Metazoa; Chordata; Actinopteri; Polynemidae. The record is from RNAcentral.
GGUAAGAUGGCUGAGGGGUAAGCGGCGGAUUGUAGUCCCGCAUACAGAGGUUUAAGUCCUCUUCUUAUCA